Non-coding RNA from Paramuricea clavata, 738 nucleotides. The record is from the annotation of a GenBank genome assembly. NCBI's taxonomy places the organism in Eukaryota, Metazoa, Cnidaria, Anthozoa, Malacalcyonacea, Plexauridae.
UUUAAAAAUAAAGAGCAAUUCACUCAAACGAUUCAGAAAUAUAUUGCAGUCGUCAAAGAAAUCGCCAUAUCAGCGGAAUGACGAAAUAAACAAAAAUUUCCGAACACAAUUUUUUAGAACAACUAUUUUACUGUAUAAAAAUGAUAUUUUCAUAAAUAUAACUUAAAACCAGCAGGAGCACAACUCAAAAGCGUAACGGUACCGCGAUUUAAGAUUUUCCUGAAUAAUUCUUACAUUAUUUUAUUGUUUGUUAAUUUUACAACUUUAUCAUAUUUUGCAUGCACUGGAGAACAUUUGGUGAAAAUUUGAUGAAAAUCGGACUGAUAUUGAGCACGCAGUAGCGAUUUUCCGCAAAACACCAAAAAGGGUGUCCUGUAACCUUAAUUAUGAUAAAGUGAUGAAGUGAAAAACUCUGGACCGUAGCGAAACAUAGGCGUACCGGGCGGGGGGGCCGGGGGCGGUAGCCCCCCCCCAGUUUUUUGGGCAGUCGGGCAAUAUUCGAUAAACAGUCGGGCAAUUUUGGUUUGUUAUAAAAAUAAAUGGGACAAAUUCUGUCAUUUUUGUCGGAAAUUCAGAAAAUUUUGUGGUCAAUUUUGUGGUGUUUGUAAAAUUUGUGUGAUUUUCCGAAAAAUUUUGGUACGUCCGGAAAAUUUUUUGACCCCUAAAAUGGUACACUGACCGAAAUUUUUUGGCGACGGGGGGGGGUGGUCGCCAGAAAAAUUUUUCCGGAAAAAAUUU